UGCUGGUGUAAAACUGUGGCUCUGCGGCUCUGCAGACAGAUAUUAUUGGCAAGGCGCACGUGUCGGAUUCUGCAGUCGCGCGCAGUUGCUCUCCACCGACUGCGCUAAUCAAAAGUUGUGUUCGACAUCGGCUGCUGCUGGAUGUAACCGAUCUGCGAGAGUUGCCGCGUGCAGGCGGGGAGGAUCUGCAAACGGAGAUAUGAAGCCGGACACGUUGUGGCUCCCGUAGUUUGCUGCAAUUACGUCAGUCAUGGCAGAUCACGUGGUGUUUGCUUGCUUUAUCGCAGACGAGCUGGAAGCGAUAGAAAUUCCAUUAUUUUUGCAUGACAUUGGGCACAAUGAGCAACGAAGAAUGGUUCCAAAAAUAGACAAUUUUGUGGAGGAUGUUGUCCCUCUCUACAGUCUCUCAGAAUUUAGAGGUCAUUUCAGGCUUUCCAAAGAACAAGUGGAGGAUGUCAUUACUACCCUAUGAAUUUACAACAGACUAGACUUCCACUCACAAACAGUGUUCUUGCCUGCCUUUGGACAUUGGCGAAUCAGGAGUCAUAUCGUGGGGUGGCAGAUAGAUUCAACAUGUCAAAAUCCACUCUUGCCAAGCAUCUCCAUGAGUUUUGUUGCAAUGUGAACACAUACAUGGCCCACCACAUUUCCUGGCCCAGAGGUCAAAGACUGGAGAUGUCAAAGUUAGGGUUUGACGCAGCAGGUUUCCCCAACACUGUAUGUGCAGUGGAUGGGUGUCACAUUCCUAUACUGAGACCCCACUGUGAUAAUCCCCUAGCAUACAUGAAUAGGAAACAGUUAUAUUCUGUAAAUUUAACUGGGUUUUGUGACAAU
This is a long non-coding RNA of Xyrauchen texanus (razorback sucker), 834 nucleotides long. RefSeq lists it as uncharacterized. NCBI's taxonomy places the organism in Eukaryota, Metazoa, Chordata, Actinopteri, Cypriniformes, Catostomidae. The record is from RefSeq and is a predicted model, not a curated record. The transcript is spliced from 3 exons.